GAAGCCCCGGUAGGCGGUAGCCUACAUCUCAGGAUUUGCAAUCCUGCAUGACUUUCACCACAGAGCUG
Molecule: transfer RNA, 68 nt
Filed under: Erpetoichthys calabaricus (reedfish)
Lineage: Eukaryota; Metazoa; Chordata; Cladistia; Polypteriformes; Polypteridae
Description: tRNA-Cys
Source: RNAcentral